AACGCAUCUUGCGCUUUCGGGUGACCGAGAGCAUGCCUCUUUGAGUAUCGUUACAAACCAAAUCGGCUGCGACCUUUUUCGAAAGGUUGCUGAGUCCGGAUAAUGAGAGUCUCAACUGAUCUUUUUUCGGUUGCGUCUCUUUAAGUAUUCACUACAUGACCUUAAUGUGCUUUGAUCAUAAGAAAUUAUGGUUCAAAGAGCAUUAUCUGGUUGAUGCUUGAUACGUGACUUCGGUCAUUCUCUGCAUCUGACCUGGAUAGUGUCUCGAUGAAUCUUCUUUUGAUGUAACGUCGAAAGACAGGCCAUCUAGGUUUUCUAGUAAGGAAAACUAUUUUUUCUUGAAACUCGAUCUCAAAUGAAGCAAGACAACCCGCCGAAUUUAA
This 383-nucleotide unclassified non-coding RNA is filed under the name uncultured fungus. RNAcentral's name for it is "sequence contains ITS2". Lineage: Eukaryota; Fungi. The record is from RNAcentral.